AUGCCAUGGUGUGGGCAUGCUGCAAUGUAUUCCUGAAGACAUUCCCAGGCUUUCGGAAUUGUCUCAUCCUUGAGUUGUUCAAAACUAGAAAUUCUUUUUCGUAGGGCAU
This is a small nucleolar RNA of Panicum virgatum (switchgrass), 109 nucleotides long. The record is from RefSeq and is a predicted model, not a curated record. Lineage: Eukaryota; Viridiplantae; Streptophyta; Magnoliopsida; Poales; Poaceae.